Molecule: long non-coding RNA, 621 nt
Organism: Penaeus monodon (black tiger shrimp)
Lineage: Eukaryota; Metazoa; Arthropoda; Malacostraca; Decapoda; Penaeidae
Exons: 2
Source: RefSeq, a predicted model, not a curated record
GUGGCAACUCGAAUGUAUGCGAACGCCCCCCACCAGGUGAGUGGCGAUACUCUUGGCUUGACGAGCAAACCGCUCACCUGUGAGGGACCGCCUGUAGAAACCCUCGCCUUUGUCGUCGUGCUUCGUAAUUAAAAACCUCGGGACCUUGGGCGCUGCUCGACGUCGCCACCGUCGUCCGCAGCACCGGCAACAAGACCCGGGGUUUUUCGCCCUAGCUUGGCGAACACCGAGGCACGACAACAGAUCACAGCCUCUCGACAAGGGUGGGGACCCCCCUGUCGCCCCCCGAGGAGUCGUGUGCUCCACCGGCUUCGGCAUACGGACAAAGCGUUAGUAGAAAAACGGAGUGUAUGCGAAGCCCUCUUUGGAACAGUACCCGCAUGAGACAUUUGCAGCGUUCGGGCUCUUAUCUGUUUGUUUCUUUAUUUCGAGUGGAUGGUAAUUAUAUCGUAUUUGUGUGUCUGGUGUGUAUGCGUGUUGGGGGCGCCUCGUGUAUUAUCUACGUGCCAAUACCGCAGCGUGCUGAAUUUUUAUAUAGUUUAUAGGUUGUAUAGUUUGUAUAGUUUGGAUUUAUAAAGUUAUCAAUUAUAUGUUACCUAUGAUUAAUAAAUUAGAAAUAUC